AGUGAACGCUGGCGGUAGGCCUAACACAUGCAAGUCGAACGCCAGCACAGUAAGAGCUUGCUCUUACGGGUGGCGAGUGGCGGACGGGUGAGGAAUACAUCGGAAUCUACUUUUUCGUGGGGGAUAACGUAGGGAAACUUACGCUAAUACCGCAUACGACCUACGGGUGAAAGCAGGGGAUCUUCGGACCUUGCGCGAUUGAAUGAGCCGAUGUCGGAUUAGCUAGUUGGCGGGGUAAAGGCCCACCAAGGCGACGAUCCGUAGCUGGUCUGAGAGGAUGAUCAGCCACACUGGAACUGAGACACGGUCCAGACUCCUACGGGAGGCAGCAGUGGGGAAUAUUGGACAAUGGGCGCAAGCCUGAUCCAGCCAUACCGCGUGGGUGAAGAAGGCCUUCGGGUUGUAAAGCCCUUUUGUUGGGAAAGAAAAGCAGCAGGUUAAUACCCCGCUGUUCUGACGGUACCCAAAGAAUAAGCACCGGCUAACUUCGU
RNAcentral lists this ribosomal RNA (491 nucleotides) under uncultured bacterium. RNAcentral describes it as "partial 16S ribosomal RNA". It matches the Rfam family "Bacterial small subunit ribosomal RNA", at positions 29 to 506 of the family's 1533-position model. The record is from RNAcentral.